CCGCUAUAAAUAGCCAUACACCAUGAAGACCCCCUCCCAUCCUCCAUCCUUCACACAUUUGGAGCACAAACAUUCACACUAAACAAUCAAGAGUAACCAAAAAUCCACCAUGAAGAUCUUCUUGGUCUUUGCCCUCCUCGUUGUAUCAACGAUCAUCACCACCGCGACCGCGCAGCUCGACCCUAGCAUCCAUGUACAAGAAAGGCCACAACAAUCGUUUCCGCAGCAGCAACCACUUACCCAACAACAACCAUUCCCGCUGCAAGAGCCACAACAACCACUAUUCCAGCAACAACAACCGUAUCCACAACAGUCACUUCGCCAACAACAACUUCCCCAGCAACAUUUAUUUCCGCAGCAACCGCCGCAACAACAAUUUCCAUAGUAGAUGCCACUUCCGCAUCAACAACAAAUAUUCCCGCAACAACAACAACCCCCACAACAACAACCAUUUUACCAAUAUCAACAACCAUUAACACAACAACCAUACACGCGAGAGCAACCAUUGCCACAACAACAACCUUCUGUGGAGGAAAACCAACAAUUGAACUUGUGCAAGGAGUUCCUGCUGCAGCAGUGCAACCCGGAGGAGAAAGUGUCAUUACUGCAGUCAAUGAUCCCGUUCCUCCGACCAAAGACCUCGCAACAGAACAACUGCCAGUUGAAGCGGCAACAAUGUUGUCGACAACUUGCACAUAUCAGCGAGCCGUCCCGAUGUCCGGCCAUCCACAACAUUGUGCACGCCAUCAUCAUGCAACAACAACAACAACAUGUGGAUAGAGGUUUCGUCCAGCCUCAACCACAACAGUUGGGCCAGGGAAUGCCCAUGCAGCCUCAACAUCAAUUGGGCCAGGGCUUAAGCCUACCUCAACAACUAGCCCAGUUCAAGUUGGUUAGGUUACUUGUGAUUCAGACCUUGCCUAUGUUAUGCAAUGUGCAUGUCCCAUCUGAUUGCUACACCAUUAGUGCACCAUUUGGUGGCAUCACUGCCUACAACGGUGGACAAUGAAAUCACAAGAGUUGUACUACUAUAUAGAUGGAACUUCAUUGUUUACUCGAUUGGACGAUCGAUGUAGCAAUGGAAAAAUAAAAUGUCAUGCACCAUCAUAUGCGUGACUGACACCAAUACAAGUUCAAAUUUGGGAAUAAAGGCAAACAAAAUAUUGCACGUCAUGCCCAUCUAAUUCAAUAGGAACUGCAAUCCAUCAAUUCCAUAUCAAUAUUUCACAAGUAUAUCAACUCAGGCUCAGCGUGCAAUGUGAAAAAAGGAGCCUCUUGAUCCGGAAAAUUUAGUUCAGGGAUCUCGCGCCCCUAAUCACCCCCAGCCACCAAAGUCCAUCGACGGCUGCCAGGAGGUAUGAUCUCAGGGUCAUGUCCUGGGUCGAUGAGUUGUACCAGCAUGUGUCGCCGUGUGACCUUUUCCAAAAAAUGUGUCCGUGUGUGGGUUCAUUGUAUAGGAAUGGGUCCCAGAGGGCGGUGUGUGUGCGAAUGGCUUUAAAGGCCAGGACCAUCUGCUUCGAGAGGCAUGUCAAUGAAUGAAUGUUCUGAAUCCCAUCUGUGUUCUUUUGGUCCUCACCUCCUUUCUCUGAUUCCUCACUCCAAUUCUCUCAAAAUAUCCCAAAUCUAUCCAAAUACCGAGCUCAUUUGUGCGAUCUCGAUCAACGACCGGGUCGUGACACUCAGCGAUGGAGCGGAGGGACACGUCCGAGGGAGGAGGCGUUGCUCAUAGGGUGGCAUGAGGCUCACACUGGCUCGAUCGCGGAUUUGUGGUGGAGGGCGUGGUCAUGGCCACGGCGUCAUCAUGUGCGUCCAUGUAUGGGCACGAGGCUGAGCCGUUCCUCCUCAGUACUGGCUGUUGCGCUAGCCUGGGCACCUCCUCGUUCCCAACCCAUCCUCACCCAUGCAGCCAUCGGCAUGGCCGCCCGUAAUUGCAGUGGUGAGCGGCGCCGGGAGUAGGGGUCAUGUCGUAGGGCGUCUUGUUGGGACCUACCCGGACGAACCUCUCUCUUUCUCUCUCUCUCUCUCUCUCUCUCUCUCUCUCUCUCUCUCUCUCUCUCUCUCUCUCUAUCGGACGGAGAUGGAAGAUGAAGAGGACACUGGAUUUUUCUCCGGCGACCAACGCCAUGCCGCACGAACGGGCCCAAUCGGCUUACUGCUGGCCGAUAGGCGCCAUUUUUCUUUUUCUGUUUUUGCUUUUAGUUGUUGUUUUCUAUUUAUUCUAGCUAUCAAAUGAAUUUNNNNNNNNNNNNNNNNNNNNNNNNNNNNNNNNNNNNNNNNNNNNNNNNNNNNNNNNNNNNNNNNNNNNNNNNNNNNNNNNNNNNNNNNNNNNNNNNNNNNNNNNNNNNNNNNNNNNNNNNNNNNNNNNNNNNNNNNNNNNNNNNNNNNNNNNNNNNNNNNNNNNNNNNNNNNNNNNNNNNNNNNNNNNNNNNNNNNNNNNNNNNNNNNNNNNNNNNNNNNNNNNNNNNNNNNNNNNNNNNNNNNNNNNNNNNNNNNNNNNNNNNNNNNNNNNNNNNNNNNNNNNNNNNNNNNNNNNNNNNNNNNNNNNNNNNNNNNNNNNNNNNNNNNNNNNNNNNNNNNNNNNNNNNNNNNNNNNNNNNNNNNNNNNNNNNNNNNNNNNNNNNNNNNNNNNNNNNNNNNNNAGUUUUCUCAAAUUGUUUCACAAAAAUGUGUAAACUAUUCUCCUCGAUAUUUUAACAUUUAUAAAAAAAUAAUCAAUUUGGAUAAAUAAAUUUAAACCCUAUCUAUAUUCACCAGGAGCUAUCAAAUAAAAUUGUAAAUAUGUGAUGUUCCAAAAAUUAGGAAAAUUUAUAUGUGGCUUGUUAAUAUUGCUAAUAAUUUAUGCAAAAAGUUUCAACACAAACCAAAUUCAUUUGAUAGCUAGAAUAAAUUGAAUACAACAACUAAAACCAAAAACAAUAAAAAAAAAUGGGCACAUGCACCUAUCGGCCAGCAGUAAGCCGACUGGGACUCUGGCUGACUAGAUCUUGACGGUCCCAAAUCGGCCAUCUGGUAGCCGACAGGGCACUUAUCGGCUUCCUCCUGGCCGAUUGGACCCAGUUGGCUACCAGAUGGCCGACUAUGUAUUAUUUUAAAAAUAAUAAUUUUAGAGUAAUAUUUCUUAAAAUUAAUUAAAAAUGUAUUAUUUUUAGAAAAUUAGCUCUUUCUUAGAGCUCAAACUCUGGCACACAUACAUGGAGACCGCCAUAUGGUGAGCACACAUACGCUCCCAGGGGCGACAUCUCUCUCCCUGGCUCCUAUACCCUCUACACAACAAUACAUGGGUUAUAUAGCCGGACUCGCACCAGGUGUUAGAGCAUCUUCAGCCGUUCGGCCCCCCAGAACGUCGAAAAAGCGUUGUCUAGGGCUGAACCAACGUAUCUUUUAGGUGUGGGGGGGAUUGUGUUUCCAGUCGCCGCCCCCAAGUCGCCCCCCAAAUUGGCGCAAACAGGGCGCAAAGUCAGCGAUUUGAUACAAAUUUACACAAACACAGCAUAAACUCGGUGAUUUUCAUUCAGAUUUGAACAAAAAAAUAGAGAAGAACUACACCUACCCUAGCCUAGCCUACUACACCGUUGCUGCCUUCUACAUCCUGAGAAGCCUGUAGAAACGGGUGUAGUCGCCGCCGCCGUCGUUGUCGUCAUCGCGCGCCCUGCUGGACGGCCCUGCUGCACCCCUGGCCAGGGUCGCCGACACGCGGUGGGGCGCUGGACGGCCCGGCCUCGUCCUCCUCGUCGCUGUCGAGGACGAUGACGCCGCCCUCCUCGCGCUCACGGCGCCGGGCCUGGAGCUCCUUGUAUGCUCGGCGCUGGUGGCACACCAGCUCACGGAGGUAGUCCUCCUUUGCCUAUUUUAGAGCGGUCUCGUCGUUGCGGGCUCCCACGCCGACGUGCUCCGGCUGCAGGCCCGGUGUCGGUGUCAAAACCGGCGGAUCUCGGGUAGGGGGUCCCGAACUGUGCGUCUAAGGUGGAUGGUAACAGGAGGCAGGGGACACGAUGUUUUACCCAGGUUCGGGCCCUCUUGAUGGAGGUAAAACCUACGUCCUGCUUGAUUUAUUCUUGAUGAUAUGAGUAUUACAAGAGUUGAUCUACCACGAGAUCGAAGAGGCUAAACCCUAGAAGCUAGCCUAUGGUAUGAUUGUAUGUUGUCCUAUGGACUAAAACCCUCCGAUUUAUAUAGACACCGGAGGGGGCUAGGGUUACACAAGGUCGGUUACAAGGGAGAAGAUAUACAUAUCCGUAUUGCCUAAGCUUGCGUUCCACGCCAAGUAGAGUCCCAUCCAGACACGAGACGAAGUCUUCAAUCUUGUAUCUUUAUAGUCCAACAGUCCGGCCAAAGGAUAUAAUCCGGCUGUCCGGAGACCCCCUAAUCCAAGACUCGCUCAGUAGCCCCCGAACCAGACUUCAAUGACGAUGAGUCCGGCACGCAGUGUUGUCUUCGGCAUUGCAAGGCGGGUUCUUAUCCAAUUUUCAAGUGUUCGUAAGCAGUGUCCGGCUCCAUAAAUGUUGAACCUCUUGGCUUCUGUGCCCAACAAGGGCUUUCUCCCACGCGUCGAAUGAAUACGAGGCACCAGGGCAUUUUUACAUUCGCCCCCCUAACCGGAUAAAUAAAUUGUCUAUUAAAGGGAUGGGGAUUCUUAGAUCCGAUCCAUACCAUCCUCCCCCAGCAAGAAUCCAUCAGAGCGCGUUUCGGAAAGAUCCAUUCCAGCAUGGCCGACCUCCGCAGCUCCUCCUCCCGCCCCCGUAGCCCUAAGCCCGGUGAUUGGGAGAGGUGUUCAGUCCCGUACAGUCGAUUAGUCGAACUGCAGACUAAGGGAUUUCGCCCUCCGGUGUAUAUGGUGCCCGUUUGAGCCGGGCUUGCCACCUACAAUGGCGGGGAGCAAGCGGAGAGCUUUUCAUGUCCCUCCAUGGGGGAACGGGUUUGCCUUGUUCCUUAUUUACUAAGGGGACUCGGAUUUCCAAUUCAUCCGUUUCUCCGCGGGCUCCUGGAGUUCUAUGGACUCCAAUUACACAAUCUCACCCCUGCGUCCAUUCUACAUGUCGUCGGCUAUGUUACUCUCUACGAGUUGUUCCUGGGAUGCGAGGCUCACUUCGAGCUGUGGAAAAGGCUAUUUUGCCUCGUCCCUCGCAUACCGGAUACCUGUCCAGUACCCCGAAGAAGUCUCCGAAGACUGGGCUUUAGAAUGGUUUUAUAUGGAGGACGUUCCUGUUCCGGACCCUGUUCGGCGGGAUCUUCCUAAGUUCAACAAUGCUCCUCUGAAGAAGCGCCGAAGUUGGCGCCCACGGAGCCCCCAGGCAGAAGACAACGGAGAAGUCCUCUAUCUGAUGAACCGAAUCAAAGCACUGGCUCAAUCAGGAUCGACAAUAAUCGAAGUUAUGUCGAUUUGCAUAAUGCGGGGAGUGCAGCCGAUUCAAUAUCGUGGGCACCCCUUGUGGUGUUAUAACGGGGCGGAUGACGCCACCCGCUGCGGGCGUAAGGGUCCGGACAAUGCUGCCGCUCUAGCGAAAAUUCUGUCCGAACUGUUCAAGGGUGAGGAAGAGGAGUUCACCCGCAUCAAGCCACGAGAUGGAUUCUCCAUGUACAAUCCUCCAAGCUAGGUAAGUUAUAUCUCCCUGCUCCCAUUUUCCCCGCAUUCUUUAUCGUAAGUAUUCACCUUGACACUUUGCGGCACGAACUGCGAAAAGCCAUAAAGGAGGUCAGCAGCCCUUCUCCACAACCAGAGGACCCUGACCGGGCCCUCGACUCCGAACUUGAAGAAGAUUCGGUUAUAUUCGUGGAGUUGAUAGACCUGCAGUUCUAUCAGUUAAGCUGCAACGAUGCCAUGGUGGCCAUUACGGCCGACUAUCCCGGACUGCUCCCUGCGUCACAAGUAAGAAAAACCAAAAAUCCCAACUCCAAAACUAGGAUCCCCGUUUAGACACUUCACCCACCAUAUACACAUGGCAUUUUACAGGGAAGGCAUUCGGGAUGCCCUGCCGAACCCACGUCAACGCGCCAACAGGAGGCAUUGAGGCCGGGUAGGCCAAAAAGGAAGGCGGUCGGGACGGAGCCGCGGGCGCAAAGGUAUAACAAACCCCGCUCCGUGGUUGUCGUCUUUCUCGAAAUGUAAUGACGCCCGUGUUUCUUUAACAGAAAAAACGCUCGCCGGAAUAUGUCCGGCGAUAUUGCCAAUCACGCUUCCACCAGUCGGGCGCCAGGACCGGACAUGGAGGCAGAAGCCGAUAUGGGGCAGGCGCCGGAUAAUCCCCCUACAGAGGAUGCAGAUAGAUUAUCUGCUACAAACUCGGAAGUGGAAAGCGCCAUGAAUCAUAGGCGCCGCCGGGCCGUACUCCGUGACGCUUGUUUCUCACCAGAUGCGUUUGACGCCUUCAAUUCUGGAGAGGCGUACCUCCGUGCUGCUCAAGAUGGUCUAGCCAGAGACACGGAUCAGUAUGUAAAGGAUGUACGGGUGAGUAAAUCUGACGAUUUAUAUAUAUCAGUAGCCCCUAAGACUUGAAACAGAUAGCAGAACUGAUUUAAGGAUCAUCUUUAUUGUGCAGGUUCUUACAGAGAAGAAUACUAGGCUGUCACAGGAGGUGGAGGAAUGCAAGACCCAACUGCGGCCUGCUGUGGCCGCAUUGCAGGAACCGAAAAAGUCACCUGCUGGUAAUAUUUCCUUUAAAGAAUGAUGGUUACCAUAUAACGUGUGGCAUGACUGCAGAUCUAACAACAGAUGUUGCAGAUGAAUCCGGAGAGAAUCCGGCGGACCAGCAUGUUAUGCGGCAGCUAGAGGCUGGCAAACGCGUGCUGACUGAGGUUAGGCGGGAGAAAAACAAUCUCCAAGAUGCCAAUAUUAAGCUGAGCGUGGAACUAAAAGACGUUCGGGGCCAGCUUGCAGACUCCGAGAAAGAGAAUAAGCGGCUUCGGCACGGCAUUUUCAGUAAGUGCUUGAACAAAUCCUUUUAAAGGAGUUCGGCGAAGAAGCCGACUAACAGCGUUAUGUCUGUAGGUAUGCUGACGGGUCGUCCCGCAGAGGAAAUGCCCGGGUCUGCGGGUGAUCUUCUGUCCGAGCUGUCACAUCUGCACGAACAAGUUCGGCAGGUGAUGCAGGGUGUUGCCCAGGCCUUGUGGCCGUCCGUCUCCCUGCCAGAGGGUGUUGUCGAGCUUGCGGAGAAGCUCAAGGGAGCACGGUGGCGCUUCCGAUUAUGGAAGAUAUCAGCCUGCCGACAGGGUGCCAGAGAAGCCUGGGCCAUGGUGAAGACGCGGUAUACCAAGGCAGACCCAAAUCACAUGGCCGAGGUCGGACCUGUGGGGCCCGACGGAAAAGAGAUCCCCAUUAGCUUAGUUUAUGGGCAAGUAGAAUUAGCCGCAAAGUAUUCUCAACAGGAUUAUAAGCUAGACCGCUUGUUGGAUGGUAUAGAAGAGGAAUUCAGUCAGUCUGCAUGACUAUGUAAUUAAAGUGACAUGUAUAAUGCCUUUUAGCCGGAUUGUAGAUCAUUUGUCGUUGCGGACCUUUUCGCUUCAACCUCCGGGCCCAAUAGUCCGGAGUGUAUCCGAAUACCCGCUCAGUUAUAUAAGAACCGGGGUAUGUGUGGAGACCAGGCGUAGGGGUCAUUAGCGCUUUAUCAGACAAGUGCCCAACUAGUUAUGUUAUAUUACAUGGGUAGUAAGAAACAUCUUCCAGGGAGAAUAGUUCCGUUAAGGGUUCCUUUCCCUGGGUAAGCAUGCCCUAAAGUGCAUGUCCGGAUUGCGAUAGGAAACACAGGAAAAACAUCUGGGGGCAGAUAUGGAUAAUAAAUAAAAAUCAUCUUUUGUUCACCGACCAAAUAUUCCCUUAAGAACGCUAGAUUUCGGCUUCACCCAGUCUGAGGUACACAUCCGGCUGACCCGGCAGUAACAAUCGCAGAGGUGCUCCCCUUAUGCCCUAGCCGAAUGAACGGGAAUAUAGGGCAUAAAUACAAGAGCCAGGCAACCUAGCUUGGCCAAAACUUAAAUCAUAUCGAUGCAUAUAAUGGUGAAAAAGGUACAUGCGGAAGUAUAACACAUGUGUGGGGCAUGAGGCCCAGAUAAAUAAUUUAAGCUUCUGUGAAAGAAGCCCCCAUGUAUGAAGAGUGCGGCUAGCGCAUCUGUAAUGUGCCAGCGAGGCACAAGGUGACCCUUGAAGGCCUAGAGAAAUAAUAAAAGAAAGAAAGAAAUAAAGAGAAACAAGACAGAUAAUGUAUAUGUGAAAAUGGACAAAGGGAGGGGACUAACAUAGAGUACGGUGCUAGACGUAGAAUCUUCGGAGCUUGGCCACGUUCCAUGGGUUCGGCUCGAGUCGACUAGUCGAUGCAUCCCGCAUUCGGUACGCUCCACCGGUCAGAACUUGGUCAAUAAUGAAGGGACCUUCCCAUUUGGGCUUGAGCUUGUUCUUUUUCUUAUCCGACAGGUGUAGAACUACUUCACCAACGUUAUAAGUUUUGGCCCGUACUUCUCUGCUUUGGUAUCUGCGAGCCUGUUGCUGAUAAAAUGCGGAACGGGCUUUUGCUACAUCGCGCUCCUCCUCCAGGGUGUCCAAACUGUCCUGCCGAUCGAGGUUGGCUUCUCUUUCUUCGUACAUGCGCACUCAAGGUGAGUCAUGAAUUAUGUCACAGGGCAAGACCGCCUCUGCGCCGUACAGCAUAAAGAAGGGUGUAUGUCCGGUACUAUGAUUCGGCGUGGUCUGCAGCCCCCAGAGUACAGAGUCGAGCUCCUUUACCUAGUGCGUGUUAGACUCCGUUAAGGAGCGCACUAAUCUGGGUUUAAUGCCGCUCAUUAUAAGAACAUUUGCUCGCUCGACUUGACCGUUGGUUUGUGGGUGAUAGACUGAGGCAUAAUCGAGCUUGAUGCCCAUUUUGCUGCACCAGAGUUUUACCUCGUCGGCCAUGAAGUUCGUGCCAUUAUCAGUAAUGAUGCUGUGGGGAACGCCAUAACGGUGUACAACCCCGGAUAUGAAGUCUAUCACCGGUCCAGAUUCGGCUGUUUUAACAGGUUUGGCCUCUAUCCAUUUGGUGAAUUUAUCCACCAUGACCAAUAAGUAUUUUUUCUUGUGGGUUCCCCAUUUAAGGGGUCCAACCAUGUCAAGCCCCCAGACCGCAAAGGGCCAUGUAAUGGGGAUUGUUUGGAGGCCGGUAGGUGGCAUGUGACUUUGAUUUGCAAAGAGCUGGCAACCGGCGCAGCGUUGGACCAAGUCUUGUGCAUCUGCCCGGGCCGUUGGCCAAUAAAAUCCUGUACGGAAGGCCUUGCUUACAAGAGCCCGGGCUGCGGCGUGAUGACCGCCGAGUCCGGCGUGAAUUUCUGCCAAAAGAUUCCGCCCUUCCUCUUCGGAGAUGCACCUUUGAAGGACUCCGGUAGUGCUUUUUUGUACAAUUCUCCCUCAUGGACCCUGUAGGCCUUGGAUCGCCGCACUAUGCAGCGUGCCUCAUUUUGGUCCUCCGGGAGUUCCUGUCUAGUUAGGUAGGCCAGGAAUGGUUUUGUCCACGGGGAAAUAAUGGUCAUUAUUUCGUGGGCUGAAGGUGUUAUUUCGGUGGCGGAGCCUCCGAUUGUGUCAGAAGUUCGGUAUCGGGUAUUUUGGCCGGGUCCGGACUGUUGUUACCGGUGUCCCCUUCCCAUACUACAGAUGGCUUGAACAACCUUUCCAAAAAUAUGUUAGGGGGACCACAUCACGCUUUGCACCGAUGCGGGCGAGGAUAUCCGCCGCCUGAUUGUUUUCCCGAGCCACAUGGUGAAAUUCGAGCCCCUCGAACCGAGCUGACAUUUUUAGGAUGGCGUUUCGAUAGGCCGCCAUUUUCGGAUCCUUGGCGUCGAAGUCUCCAUUUAUUUGGGAUAUUGCGAGGUUUGAAUCCCCACGCACCUCCAGGCAUUGAAUGCCCAUGGAGACUGCCAUCCAAAGACCAUGCAACAGAGCUUCGUAUUCCGCUGCAUUGUUGGAGUCUGUAUACAAUAUUUGCAAUACGUACUGAACGAUAUCUCCGGUUGGGGACGUCAGGACGACGCCAGCCCCUAGACCAGCCAGCAUUUUAGAACCGUCAAAGUGCAUGAUCCAAUUGGAGUAUGCGCCGUACUCUUUAGGGAGUUCGGCCUCCGUCCAUUCGGCAACGAAGUCGGCCAAUACCUGCGACUUAAUGGCUCGUCGAGGUUUGUAUGUUAUGUCGAACGGGAGGAGCUCAAUGGCCCAUUUGGCAAUCCGGCCCGUAGCGUCGCGGUUGUUUAUAAUAUCAUUAAGUGGCACUUCCGAGACUACUGUAAUCGAACACUCUUGAAAGUAGUGUCACAGCUUCCGUGAUGCCAUGAAUACCGCAUAUGCUAUCUUUUGGUAGUGUGGGUACCAUGAUUUGCAUGGAGUGAGGACAGUGGAUACAUAGUAUACCGGCUUUUGAAGAGGGAAUUUAUGCCCGUCUGCUUCCAGUUCGAAAACGAGCACCGCGCUUACAACUUGAUGAGUUGUCGCAAUAUACAAUAGCAUUGGUUCACCGAUGUUUGGCGCGGCCAGGAUUGGGUUGGUUGCCAAGAUGGUCUUUAUUUCUUCCAAUCCGGCUGUGGCCGCAUCCGUCCACUCGAAGUGUUCGGUGUGCCGAAGGAGGCGAUAAAGGGGUAAAGCCUUUUCUCCUAAGAGGGAGAUAAAGCGGCUUAGAGCUGCCACGCAUCCAGUUAACUUCUGGAUUUGUUUGAGGUCUGUUGGGGUAGCCAACUAUGAUAAAGCUCGGAUUUUGGCUGGAUUAGCUUCAAUACCUCUACUGGAGAAAUGAAACCCAGGAGCUUUCCGACUGGUACGCCGAAAACGCAUUUUUCCGGAUUGAGCUUGAUGUCGUAUGUUCGGAGGUUGUCGAAUGUGAGCCUCAAGUCGUCUAUCAAAGAGUCGACGUGUUUGGUUUUGACGACCACAUCGUCUACGUAUGCCUCUACUGUUUUGCCGAUUUGUUUCUCCAGACAUGUCUGAAUCAUGCGCUGAUAUGUUGCGCCGGCGUUUUUGAUCUCAAAAGGCAUUGUGUUAAACUAGAAGGGACCGUAUGGUGUGAUGAAUGCCGUUGCGGCUUGGUCGGACUCCGCCAUCUUGAUUUGGUGGUAACCGUAGUAUGCGUCGAGGAAACACAAUGACUCGUCUCCUGCGGUAGCAUCAAUGAUUUGAUCGAUGCGUGGGAGGGGGAAGGGAUCCUUUGGGCAAGCUUUAUUGAGGUCUUUGAAAUUGACACAAAGGCGCCAGGAUUUGUUCUUCUUUGAUACCAUCACCAGGUUUGCUAGCCAGUCUGGGUGUUUUAUUUCUCUGAUGAAUCUGGCCUCCAAUAACUUGGCUAGUUCCUCUCCCAUGGCCUGUCUCUUAAAUUCGGAGAAACGCUGAAGAGCUUGCUUGACCGGCUUAAAUCCCUUUAGGAUAUUGAGGCUAUGCUCGGCCAGCCUACGUGGGAUUCCUGUCAUGUCUGAGGGAUGUCAGGCGAAUAUGUCCCAGUUCUCGCGCAGGAACUCUCAUAAUGGGGUGUCCACAUCGGAGUUUAACUGUGCCCCGAUAGAGGCUGUUUUUGUAUGGUCCGUUGGGUGGACUUGGAAUUUGACUAUUUCAUCUGCUGGUUUAAAAGAGGUGGACUUCGAUCUCUUGUCGAGUAUCACGUCGUCCCUGUCCACCGUGGAUCGUAGCGUGGUUAAUUCCUUGGCCGAGAGAGCUUCGGAUAAUGCCUCGAGGGCCAAUGCGGCUAUUUUGUUUUCGGCAUGGAGCGCUGUGUCCGGAUCACUGGCGAGAGUGAUGAUUCCGUUGGGCCCGGGCAUUUUAAGCUUCAUGUACCCGUAAUGGGGUACGGCUUGAAAGAUUGUAAAUGCCUCCUAUCCUAAAAGAGCGUGAUAGCCACUGCUGAAUGGGGCCACUUGGAAUGUUAUUUCUUUGGACCUGUAGUUAUACGGCGUGCCGAAUACCACGUCUAGUGUGAUUUUCCCAGCACAACGUGCUUCUCAACUGGGGAUAAUUCCUCUAAAGGUUGUGCUACUUUGCUAGAUGUGGUUCCAAUCUAUUUCCAUCUUUUGAAGAGUUUCCUCAUAAAUGAGGUUUAGUUCGCUGCCGCCGUCCAUGAGUACUUUGGUGAGUCGAAAGCCGUCCACGAUUGGACUGAGGACCAGUGCGCCUGGUGCUCGGGCUGUUCAGAAUUUAGGUUCGUCACUGGCAUUGAAGGUAAUAGCCGUGUCACUCCAUGGAUUUAUUACUACUACGUGGCAGAUUUCGGCCAUGCCGCGGAGUGUUCGCUUGUGCCUAUUAUUUGACGCGAAGGUCUCAAACACUGUUAACACCGUAUUGUUAUCCACGGGAUGGUGGUCUGUGGUAUUUGGGAUAAGAAGAUCCUCACCACUUUUUGCCACCUGCCGGAGUAUCCAACAUGCUCUGAGGCUGUGCGUUGGUAUUAUAUCCGCUGUACUAUGAAUUUUGCAGGGUUCGUUGAGCCAUCCCUCUAGUACGGUUCCAUGCCCUGUAGAGGGUUUUUGUUUCUUUACAACUGGCUCGGGGUGUCUUAUGAUAGUGCACCCUUUUACUUCAGACUGGGUGUAUAUUCAGAGCCGGAUUAUCCCAAAAUUUCGUUUCGGUUUUCCAGGCGCUUUCCAUCUCACAGUACUUUCGUACUAUGGACGCCAAGUCAGCGAAGCGUGAUAUGUCACGGCGACUUAGGGCGUUAAGGAUUCCCUUGUCCGUGCAAUUAUUGCAGAAAAGUGAGACUGCAUCUUCCAGGUGACAGUCCUUAACCUUGUUCAAUAGAACGAGGAAUCUGGCCCAGUAAUGAUGUACUGUUUCAUGGGGCUCUUGCCUGAUGUGGGAAAGAUCGUUUAUGUUUGGGUGGGUGCGUGGAAUUGAAUUCUAACCCUUACCCGAUCUGGGAUCCAGGGGCCGAGGAGUUCCUAAUUUUGGAAGUUCCGGUUCUGGGGUGCUACCCGAUAAUCCUGGCCCGCUGCCUGACUCUAAGUUCAGGGAUUGGAUGUUGUCCUCCCGCGAACGGGCGUCCAGCUCGGAGAGCUCGGGAAUCCGGACAUAGUUGGUCCUCAAGAUAGAGGAAAGGUCGCCGCAUUGUUCCUCCAUCACCGCAAUAUGAUGGGUGACCGUUGGAGAGUUAAUCUCCCUUUGAUCGGGUUUAAACCCAAUCCGGUCAUAGUCCGUAGCGACUCCCAAGGCGGCGAUGCGAUCCAAGAGCUCGUUUAAGGAGGCGAGCUCCACUGGAUCCAUCUGUUCGGCGAGUGCCGAUUUGACGUGGAGGCUGUUUUUGAUGACCCGAGAAGCCAUCGUCGGCGCGGCGGCCGAACAGGCGGUCAUGAUGAAACCGCCUAGCCGGAGAGUUUGGCCGACAGCCAAAGCUCCCCUAACAGUAGUACCGUCUUUAAAGACGAGACCAGAAAUCCUUCCUUCUGGCGACGGCACAGAGGAACUCUCAAUGAAAGCACCAAUGUCGGUGUCAAAACCGGCGGAUCUCGGGUAGGGGGUCCCGAACUGUGCGUCUAAACCGGAUGGUAAUAGGAGGCAGGGGACACGAUGUUUUCCCCAGGUUCGGGCCCUCUUGAUGGAGGUAAAACCCUACGUCCUGCUUGAUUUAUUCUUGAUGAUAUGAGUAUUACAAGAGUUGAUCUACCACGAGAUCGAAGAGGCUAAACCCUAGAAGCUAGCCUAUGGUAUGAUUGUAUGUUGUCCUACGGACUAAAACCCUCCGGCUUAUAGACACCGGAGGGGGCUAGGGUUACACAAGGUCUGUUAUAAGGGAGAAAAUAUACAUAUCCGUAUUGCCUAAGCUUGCCUUCCACGCCAAGUAGAGUCCCAUCCGGACACGAGACGAAGUCUUCAAUCUUGUAUCUUCAUAGUCCAACAGUCCGGCCAAAGAAUAUAAUCCAGCUGUCCGGAGACCCCCUAAUCCAGGACUCCCUCACCCGGCUCGGGGUUCGUCCGGACUAGGCAGAGGGAGCGUGGGGAGGGACGGGAACCCUCGUUGAUGACAAGGGCGCCGCUGCGGGUGCGGCGCCGGAGCAUCGUCUCCUCCGGCUCCGGCUUGACGGGGCAGAGUGCCGGUGAGCCGGAGCAGACGGAGUCGGAGCCCGACGACGAGGACGCCCCUGGCUCCAUUCGCCGUGGCGUCCAGGAGCUGCCACGGUGGCGAGAGAAGGACGGGCGAGGCGGGUACUCGAGGCGCGGCAGUUGGCGGUCUCGAUGUAGUCGAGGACGGCCUCGAGCGUGCGGCCUAGCACGCCCCACCACUCGCGCCGCCCGUCGGCGUUAAUGUGACCGCAGGGGAUGACGCCGUUGGUGGAGGCGAUCUGUUCUUCACGGUGGCGCGCGAAGUACAUGGUCCACAUCGUGUGGUUGUCGGCGGCGUACCUUGACUUGUUCCGCUGCUCCGGCGGCAGGGACGAGCGGAUGCGGGCGAUCUCGGCCCGCCGUGCCGCCCUUCGGGCACCGGUGGCACCGGGACGCCGGCGGCGCUCAGCCUCCACGUACCCGGCACACGCAUGUUCGGGGGCGCCGGAUACUCGGCCUCGUAGAGGAGGCACGCCUCUGGCUCUUGGAGAUGGCGGCGGACGAAGCCGUUCGUCGCCGCGCCGUCGCUAGGGAACCUCUCAACCAUGUGCUCGUCGCUACGAUUGCGCGAGGACAUAUUUCCCUUCUUGAAAACACUGCUGCCGAAGAAGUCGACUUAGUUUUAUUUCAUAUCUUGUAAUGGUUUGACCAUGGUUGCCUUUGUUUUAUAUUCUACUGAAUAAUUAAUAAAUAUGGUUGUGUGCAUCACAAUGAUGCAGAGGUUAACCUACGUUUAAAUAAAAUCAACCUAGUGUCUAGCAGUAUUCUCCAACAGAAACUACAAUCCAUCAUUUUUCUUUUGCACAUCUUCCCCAUCUAAUUUCCGUGUUGAUGAUUGUACUAGUUGAUUUUACUCUACACUUGUCAGCCUGUAUAACUAGUUGAUAUUAUUGCACGCAAUAGGAAGGAAUGUAGUGCAUAUAGGUAAGUCUGUAGCAAUCCUUUUCUAAUAAAUAUUGUACUACUAAAGUAAGUUGUGAAGACUAAUUGCUAUUCAACACUUUGAUGGCAAUGCUAAGGAGUUGUGUGAAAAUCUUGAAUGAUCUGCUUCUUGUAUCUGAUUCUAAAUAAAUAGUAUACGUUAGAUUUUAUUGUAAAGAUCAGCUGCUUCUAUCCUUAUACUCCAGCAUCUUCCUUUCUGAAAGUGUGUUCAAUAAAUAUUUCUCCACGAAAAUGAACUUAAGUGGACAGAAAAUAUUUUGCAGCUGUUCACUACAAAGGAUAUUGUGCAACUAUCCAUUCAGAAGAAAAAAUAUGUUCUACAAAACAUAACUCUGUCUAAAUUUAGCCAGUUAAGAUCCCAUCUGAGAUGGUUAAGUACAACAGCCAAAAUUGCGUUGCUUGUACGAUCCUGGUUACUUUAGCCAUUAUUAGGGUACAUGGAGUAUAACUAGACAGUUUCAGCGCCUCUUCUUGUCUGCUUUUGCAUCACCAGAUUUCGAUGGGCUUGCGACCAGGUAGAUAAACACGCCAACAAAGGAAACAACAGAUGCCAACGUCCCAUAUUUCCCAACAAUGCUCUGCAGAUGAAUGGUUGAUCCGUCAGUCGCUAAAUGACGGUUGAUUCAGGCUUCCUAUUUGGAUGUAAUACUAGAUAAGUUGGUCCAAGAACAGAGUAUAGUGAAACUACCUUAGCCUGAAAUGUUCCAUGUGCCAAAUUAAGGUGGAUACCAAUGAGUGAAGUGUCAGCACCAAAGAUAUAGCAUAUCCAAAUAUUAGAAUCAUGAAAGGUUUCGUUUUGAACUGAAUGCAGCGAUAUGAUAACUAACCAAUUCAAAUUUCUGCUGCGGAGGUUUCUCAGCAAGAAUAUCAAAUGGAAGGACGGGCGUAGAAUAUGCCUCCUUCAAUAAAGAAAAAGAAGCUAUUAAGUUCAGGGAACAUAAUAUUAGAAAAUAGCACAGCACAUAAUGAGAAUUAGCAGAAAAUAUUCAGCUUCUCACCAGUCACAUGUUCUACUAACAUAUAAAACAAUCAGAAUCCUGAUUGAUUUUUGGUACAGUGUGACCAAUUAUCUGAACAUGCCAGUUGAGUUUUCUAGUCAGACAUAAAGCUUUCACCGCAUAAGUCGCAUAAACUGGAACAAAGCUAGAUUGCAGCCUUCAUGACUCAAGAUGGCAACGGGGACGAAACCCAUCGGGUUUUGCCUUCCCAAACCCAUCCCCACGAAAAAAUCAUAAACUCGUCCCCGUCCCCAUCACCGUGUGCGGGGCUAGUUUUCUGCCCGUCCCCUAAACCCAUCGGGUUUCAGGGAACCCACGGGGAACCCACGAUAAAAUCAAAAUAUUUAAACAAACAUAGUGGUGACAAAGAAUAACACUUUAGCAGCAAAACAGGCACAUUUCAGCAGCAUAAAUUGAGUAAAUUUCAACAAAAAACAAUAGUAGAUGGUUCAACAGCUAUAUAAGUUCUGAAAUAGAACUUUUAGUUCACAAAUCACUUUAAAGUUGGAAUCAUUAUGGCAUCUUUCACAUCUCCAAGCCUCCAAACAAUCAUCUUCAAAUCUUCCAAUGCCAAAUCAAAGUGCCAAGUACUAGAGAAGAUCAAAACUCGCUCAAGCUAAAGUUAAACAUGAGAAAAAUAUGCAGAUUAGUAUAUGAAAUUUGCAAGUACUUGUACUUCAGCUGCAUUCCCUCUUGAAUGUCUUGAAGACAACUUCAAAAGCUUUGUCCUUAUUCAUUGUCAGCAUAUAUGAGAAUCAUAUAAGUAGUAAUGAACAUCUUAUGAAACAUUGCAGCAAGAUAAUGAUAAACUUUAUGAUGAUAUGUAAAGAAAGACACACCUUUAUAUUUGUUUCUUAUCCAAUCUUGUGAACACAUCAAGGCCUCUUAGAUUUCGGGGGUAAGAUGACUACGGUGAUAAUAAAAAUAAUGUAAUUUCGCGGGUAUUGCCGGGUUUCGGCUUCGAGGACUACCGAAACGGGUGUAAACCCACGAAACGUGUCGGGUUGUAUAAUGUGCCCAACAACAGCCCCGCGGGGAUGAAAAGAUGCCCAUCCCCGUCCCCUAAUAAGGUAAAAACAAAUGGAGACGCGGGUUUCGGGGCCCCAUUGCCAUCUUGAACCACCUCCGUCGAGAGCCGCUUGACGGCCACCUCCGAACGCGCGGCUGCAGCCCAUCCAUGGUGUCCGUCUAGAGCCUUACGAUGGCCACCGUCAAGCCGGGAGCACGGGAUCCACACCUCCGACGGGCAACGAGCAGUGCCAACCCUCCUCGUAGUCUGAUGAGCCACCGUGGGUUCACUGGCCACAGUCCUGUGGCUCCCGGUUGAUCGGGGGAUGAGCCAGCUAGCCCGAGGUGAACUGGACGAUGCGUGCACGCCAAGUGACCACAGCACCGGCUGGUCUCUUAGGCCAACUACCACGCGUGCAGGCAGUGCCGUUUCACCAUGUGUCCGCCGCGGCUGUUGAUGACCUCCCGCAUCAAUCUGCCGGUCGGCUGGAUACGGCGACCCUGCGAUGCACACAUUGGGAGGAGGUGAGCGGGCCGUGGUGGGGAGCAGGAGCAGCUGUGGUGUGAAAGGAUUGCCGCUUCCAACGCAAAUCACACCAAAAUCCCUCAGAUGAGCUUAACGCAGUUCACUUCGCCAUUCUUUUGCAAUGUUUUUUGAUGAUUCUGUGAUCCUGACCAACCACUUCUGUUUAAUUCGAUACAGUCCUACAAGACUCAAGAUGGCAACGAGGACGAAACCCAUCGGAUUUUGCCUUCUUAAACCCAUCCCCACGAGAAAAUCGUAAACCCGUCCCCGUCCCCAUCACUGUGUGCGGGGAUAGUUUCCCGCCCGUCCCCUAAACCCAUCGGGUUUCAGGGAACCCACGGGGAACCCACGAGAAAAUCAAAAUAUUUAAACAAACAUAGUAGCGACAAAGAAUAACAUUUCAGCAGCAAAACAAGUAUAUUUCAGCAGCAUAACUUGAGGAAAUUUCAACAAAAAACAAUAGUAGAUGGUUCGACAACUAUAUAGAGUGUAUUUCAGCAGCAUGAUACCACAUUUCAGCAACAAAGAUGAUUAGAUUACAGCAACAAGGAUGAUCGUAUUUCAGCCAUACAUGGUUCAACAACAUGUGCAAUUACACAAGUUCUAAAAUAGAAUUCUUGGUUCACAAAUCACGAGCACAAACGAGACGGAGCAAGCGAUACUGGCCACCCAGCGAGGGGUUGGUUUGGCCUUCUAUGUUGGGGGUGGGGGCUCGGUAGCUUUGGGUUGGGCCGCGUAGGAUCAGAUCUUGGUAAAAAAAUGUAUUUUGUCGGGUUUGCUGGGUUUCGGGUUCGGAGACUACCGAAACGGGUGCAAACCCACGAAACGUGUCGGGUUGUAUAAUGUACCCAACAACAGCCCCGCGGGGAUGAAAAGACGCCCAUCCCCGUCCCCUAAUAGGGUAAAAACCCACGGGGAAGUGGGUUUCGGGGCCCCAUUGCCAUCUUGAUUCAUGACAACACGGCAUUUGAUAACUGCGGGAGAACCCUGAAACUUGCCCUGCGCUUUGGUCUCCACUCUCCAAGACAGUUGUGGGAUGUCGUUGAACCGCUGGCCAUACAAACAGAAGGUACAUACCAAAGCGACUUUGCCGCUCAAUCCAAAAUUACACUUGCAAGUAACUCCACCAAACAAAACAUACCAAGGGAUUAGUUUCAUAAGAGUAUUAGAACUUUAGAAGAAAGCAAAUGUAAAGAUGAAAAUAUAUCAUUUCAUGUCAGCUAUAAAUAGCCAUACAUCAUGAAGACCCCCUUCCAUCAUCCAUCCUUCACAUAUUUAGAGCGCAAGCAUCCAAACUAAACAGUCAAGCGUAACCACAAAUCCACCAUGAAGAUCUUCUUGGUCUUUGCCCUCCUGGUUGCCACAACGAUCAGCAUCACCGCCACUGCGCAGCUCGACCCUAGCGUCCAUGACUUAGAAAGGCCACACCAAUCAUUUCCACAACAGCAGCCACUUCCCCCGCUACAACCAUUCCCGCCGCAAGAGCCAUAACAACCAUUUCCGUUGCAGCAACCACAACACCUGCAACAACAACCACUUCCCCAACAACAUCUAUUUCCGCAGCAACCGCCACAACAACAAUUUCCACAGCAACAACAAACAUUCCCGCAACCUCAUCAACAACCACAAUUCCCGAAACAACAACCAUUUUACCAAUAUCAACAACCAUUUACACAACAACCAUAACCGAAAGAGCAACCAUUGGCACAACAACAACCUUGUGUAGAGGAAAGACAACGACUGAACUUGUGCAAGGAAUUCCUCUUGCAGCAGUGCAACCCGGAGGAGAAGGUGUCGUCACUCCAUUCGAUGAUCCCGUUCCUCUGACCAAAGACCUCGCAACAGAAUAGCUGCCAGUUGAAGCGACAAGAAUGCUGUCGCCAACUUGCACAUAUCCAUGAGCAGUCUUGAUGCCUGGCCAUCCAAAGCCCUGUGCAUGCCAUCAUCGUGCAACAACAACAACGACGACAACAACAACAGGUUGAUAGAGGUUUUGGCCAGCCUCAACCCACCACAAUUGGGCCAGGGAAUGCCCAUGCAACCUCAAUAGCCACUGGGCCAGGGCUUUAUCCUACCUCAGCAACUAGCCCAGUUUAAGUUGGUUAGGUCACUUGCGAUUCAGAUCCUGCCUAUGUUAUGCAACGUGCAUGUCCCGUCUGAUUGCUACACCAUUACUGCAUAUUUUGGUAGCAUGACUGCCUGCAGCUGUGGACAAUGAAAUGACAAGAGUUGUACUACCACACAGGUGGACCUUCAUUGUUUACUCGAUUGGACAAUCG
This 19779-nucleotide long non-coding RNA is filed under the name Triticum aestivum (bread wheat). RNAcentral's name for it is "long non-coding RNA (TAES_LNC000090)". Lineage: Eukaryota; Viridiplantae; Streptophyta; Magnoliopsida; Poales; Poaceae. The record is from RNAcentral.